Hirundo rustica (Barn swallow) is the source of this 619-nucleotide long non-coding RNA. RefSeq lists it as uncharacterized. Lineage: Eukaryota; Metazoa; Chordata; Aves; Passeriformes; Hirundinidae. The transcript has 3 exons. The record is from RefSeq and is a predicted model, not a curated record.
AGCCGAGCUGGUUGUACCCAUCUGCUGUGUUUGAGCCUGUUGAAGGAUAAAAUAAACCUCUGCCAGCUCAGAAGAAGCCCGAGCAAACUGGGAAAACAGACAAGAUUAUCAGCAAGAGAAAGGCAUUUUUCUGCAAGUGCACAAUGCAGCGAUGGUGUGGAGCACAGGACUGGAGUGACAGGGAGACAACGGAGGCGGGAGGAGAGGUGCUGCCCAGGAAGCAGUGUGUACAGCUCAGCUGGAGGCUGCCUGAGGGGUGCUGUGACACCCGGCGUGGGGAGGAAGCGGCUGUUCGUGGAGCUGGUGCCAGCACUCAGCCCCUGCAGCCCUGGCCUUGCUCUGUGCUGGGGGACCGGGGGCACAGGUGGCACUGGCAGCUCCUCUGCUGGAUCCACAGCAUCCCUCGGGCCAGCCCAACUGCACCAGUUCCCGUUGGAGAGGGGGUUUGGGCUGGCAGGGCAGCUCACGGGUCCAGGGGCCAGGCUCUGGCUCGGAGCUGGGCUGCAGAAGGCAGCAGUGCCCUGCACUGCCCAGCUCCUCCCCUUCCUAGUGCUCAUUAGUCCUUUAUUCAUAAAAACAUAGAAUUAGGAAGGUUGGAAUUAAACCUUUUCAGGCGCUC